UUUUUAGCAUAAAUAUAUCCCAUGCAAUAUUUGAGACAUACUUUUACUAAAA
RNAcentral lists this microRNA precursor (52 nucleotides) under Equus asinus (donkey). RNAcentral's name for it is "mir-1302 microRNA precursor family". It matches the Rfam family "mir-1302 microRNA precursor family". Lineage: Eukaryota; Metazoa; Chordata; Mammalia; Perissodactyla; Equidae. RNAcentral also lists the same sequence under 1 other name. The record is from Rfam by way of RNAcentral.